CGUGCGGCUGGCGCAGGAAGGGCGCGAGCGCGCCUACCGCGAGCUCGUGCGGCGCUACGAGCGGCCGGUGUUCUCGCUCAUCUACCGCAUGG
This 92-nucleotide transfer RNA is filed under the name Gemmatimonadetes bacterium T265. RNAcentral's name for it is "tRNA-Val". The record is from RNAcentral. Lineage: Bacteria; Pseudomonadati; Gemmatimonadota.